AUUGAACGCUGGCGGCAGGCUUAACACAUGAAAGUCGAGCGAGCGGCGGACGGGUGAGUAAUGUCUGGGAAAUUGCCUGAUGGAGGGGGCUAACUAGUGGCAACGGUAGCUAAUACCGCAUACUAUCAGUUGUCACCAGAUGGGAUUAGCUAGUCGCUGGGUGACUGGCUUGUCUAGGCGACGAUGCCUAGCUGGUCUGAGAGGAUGACGCGACACACUGGAACGGAGACACGGUCCAGACUCCUACGGGAGGCAGCAGUGGGGAAUAUUGCACAAUGGGCGCAAGUCAGAUGCAGCCAUGCCGCGUGUGUGAAGAAGGCCUUCGGUUGGUAAAGCACUUUCAGCGAAGAGGCGUUACUCACAGAAGAAGCACCGGCUAACUCCGUGCCAGCAGCCGCGGUAAUAC
RNAcentral lists this ribosomal RNA (406 nucleotides) under uncultured bacterium. RNAcentral's name for it is "partial 16S ribosomal RNA". It matches the Rfam family "Bacterial small subunit ribosomal RNA", at positions 30 to 526 of the family's 1533-position model. The record is from RNAcentral.